CUACGGGAGGCAGCAGUGGGGAAUUUUGGACAAUGGGCGCAAGCCUGAUCCAGCCAUGCCGCGUGAGUGAAGAAGGCCUUCGGGUUGUAAAGCUCUUUCGGCGGGGACGAAACGGUCCGUGCUAACACCGCGGACUAAUGACGGUACUCGCAGAAGAAGCACCGGCUAACUACGUGCCAGCAGCCGCGGUAA
RNAcentral lists this ribosomal RNA (192 nucleotides) under uncultured bacterium. RNAcentral describes it as "partial 16S ribosomal RNA". It matches the Rfam family "Bacterial small subunit ribosomal RNA", at positions 339 to 523 of the family's 1533-position model. The record is from RNAcentral.